GCUCCGGUGGUGUAGUAGAAGCAUGCCCCCUUCGGGCGGUCUGCUGUCCGAGAUGUCUAUCUCAUUGGGGGUGGUCCUGGGUUCAACUCCCAGCCGGAGCC
This is a non-coding RNA of Apiotrichum porosum, 101 nucleotides long. Lineage: Eukaryota; Fungi; Basidiomycota; Tremellomycetes; Trichosporonales; Trichosporonaceae. The record is from the annotation of a RefSeq genome assembly.